Molecule: ribosomal RNA, 478 nt
Filed under: uncultured bacterium
Lineage: Bacteria
Description: partial 16S ribosomal RNA
Rfam family: Bacterial small subunit ribosomal RNA
Source: RNAcentral
GACGAACGCUGGCGGCGUGCUUAACACAUGCAAGUCGAACGGUAAGGCCCUUCGGGGUACACGAGUGGCGAACGGGUGAGUAACACGUGGGUGAUCUGCCCUGCACUUCGGGAUAAGCCUGGGAAACUGGGUCUAAUACCGGAUAGGACCACUGCCUGCAUGGGUGGUGGUGGAAAGCUUUUGCGGUGUGGGAUGGGCCCGCGGCCUAUCAGCUUGUUGGUGGGGUGAUGGCCUACCAAGGCGAUGACGGGUAGCCGGACUGGGAGGGUGACCGGCCACACUGGGACUGAGAUGCGGCCCAGACUCCUACGGGAGGCAGCAGUGGGGAAUAUUGCACAAUGGGCGCAAGCCUGAUGCAGCGACGCCGCGUGAGGGAUGACGGCCUUCGGGUUGUAAACCUCUUUCAGCACCGACGAAGCGCAAGUGACGGUAGGUGCAGAAGAAGGACCGGCCAACUACGUGCCAGCAGCCGCCGUAA